RNAcentral lists this ribosomal RNA (252 nucleotides) under uncultured bacterium. Its description in RNAcentral is "partial 16S ribosomal RNA". It matches the Rfam family "Bacterial small subunit ribosomal RNA", at positions 524 to 776 of the family's 1533-position model. The record is from RNAcentral.
UACGUAGGGUGCAAGCGUUAAUCGGAAUUACUGGGCGUAAAGCGUGCGCGGCGGUUUUGUAAGUCUGACGUGAAAUCCCCGGGCUCAACCUGGGAAUUGCGUUGGAGACUGCAAGGCUAGAAUCUGGCAGAGGGGGGUAGAAUUCCACGUGUAGCAGUGAAAUGCGUAGAGAUGUGGAGGAACACCGAUGGCGAAGGCAGCCCCCUGGGUCAAGAUUGACGCUCAUGCACGAAAGCGUGGGGAGCAAACAGG